Molecule: long non-coding RNA, 1243 nt
Organism: Acyrthosiphon pisum (pea aphid)
Lineage: Eukaryota; Metazoa; Arthropoda; Insecta; Hemiptera; Aphididae
Exons: 5
Source: RefSeq, a predicted model, not a curated record
UUUUCGUUUGCCGACUUUAAAUUUGAAUCACUCACGAAUCGCGAUUACUUGAAAUUUGAACAAAAAAUACAGACUACAAAACGGUCGUACAGAGUUCUACUCAUACAUUUUAAUAUAAAAUCACCAUGGAUAAGUGUAUUCAUUUUAGUAAAACAUCCAAAGUAUCGCCUCGCCACAUUACGUGCAAUUUCAUUUAUUUCCAAAAAUCAAUGAAAUAGAAGGAAAUAAUGGCUAAAAAUGUUCGAAUUAAAUGAUUAUCCCAAUUUCUACCUGGCAUAGAAUCUGCGGUAAUCAUUUCACAAUAAUUAGUGGUUGCAAACAACGCUCAGUAAAUUAGUAAACAUGGUCAGAGGUUGUCUCAAAACAUAAUCCAAACCACUUGUCUGGGAUAGAGAAGUAAAAUAAAUGUUAGUGAUUCACGGCAACAUUGGUACUACUGUGAGCACGACUAGUAAAUCGCAUCUAAGAGAAAAUUUUUUUUCUCCAACGAUGAGUUAGAUGUACAUGAACAGAUGAGUAAAGGAUUUGAAGGCCAUGAUUUUAAUUCACCCAGAAAAGCCUUAGAUAACCAAUAAUGUCUAAUUCACACACACUUAUUUCACACAGUGGAUUAUACUUUUUAUGAUUUUCAAAACUGAAAUAUAUAAUGUACCACAUACACGGAACUGGGAAGUGGGGUCAAUGUAUUGACAAAUUUUCAGAAGUUGACUUUCUUGGAGAUAAUUCUACCGACCCAGAUGAAGUCAUACAAUGUUGGAGAGAGUUAUGAAACCUAAAGGUUGUCAAACCCGUUCCCAUUUGCAACGAGGAAAGACAAACUUCUUUGAAAGAGGUUUAUGCAAUUACCAUAAAGCUUCAAUGGCUGUUAUUAAAAUUCUUCAACUAUCGACAAUGGACAUAAUUGAUGAAGACUUUUAAACUAGGUAUAUUCUGAUAGGUACCUAUUUCCUUUAUUUGUGUACAUAUUUUACCUAUGUUUCCCACCACCACCCAUCAGAAAGUAAUUAGUUACUUUAUUUAACCAAAAAAAACUAUAUCUACACACUGUGGAGUUAUGUCUGUGAAUAAAAUUAUUUUGUCAAUGACUAAUUUAAGAAAACUUUAUUUUUAAAUUUUAUAAUAAAAAAGAAAAGUAGGUGCCUAUUUAAAAUCAUUAUGAACUAUACCAUCAUGCUUUUCAUAUUUGUCGUAUCGAUAGUUUAUGUGUAUUUUAAAAUUUAAAAAUAUAUGACUAAUGUACUAA